UCCGGUGUGGUGUAGUGGCUGUGAUGCCUGGCUUUCAUCCAGGGGGCCCGGGUUCGAUUCCCGGUACCGGAA
This is a non-coding RNA of Schistocerca americana (American grasshopper), 72 nucleotides long. The record is from the annotation of a RefSeq genome assembly. NCBI's taxonomy places the organism in Eukaryota, Metazoa, Arthropoda, Insecta, Orthoptera, Acrididae.